CCUACGGGUGGCAGCAGUGGGGAAUAUUGCACAAUGGGCGCAAGCCUGAUGCAGCGACGCCGCGUGAGGGAUGACGGCCUUCGGGUUGUAAACCUCUGUUAGCAUCGAAGAAGCGAAAGUGACGGUAGGUGCAGAGAAAGCGCCGGCUAACUACGUGCCAGCAGCCGCGGUAAUACGUAGGGCGCGAGCGUUGUCCGGAAUUAUUGGGCGUAAAGAGCUUGUAGGCGGUUGGUCGCGUCUGCUGUGAAAGGCUGGGGCUUAACCCUGGUUUUGCAGUGGGUACGGGCUAACUAGAGUGCAGUAGGGGAGACUGGAAUUCCUGGUGUAGCGGGGGAAUGCGCAGAUAUCAGGAGGAACACCGAUGGCGAAGGCAGGUCUCUGGGCUGUAACUGACGCUGAGAAGCGAAAGCAUGGGGAGCGAACAGGAUUAGAUACCCCUGUAGUC
This 445-nucleotide ribosomal RNA is filed under the name uncultured Rothia sp. RNAcentral describes it as "bacterial SSU rRNA". It matches the Rfam family "Bacterial small subunit ribosomal RNA", at positions 338 to 795 of the family's 1533-position model. The record is from RNAcentral. Lineage: Bacteria; Bacillati; Actinomycetota; Actinomycetes; Micrococcales; Micrococcaceae.